Molecule: long non-coding RNA, 1726 nt
Filed under: Homo sapiens (human)
Lineage: Eukaryota; Metazoa; Chordata; Mammalia; Primates; Hominidae
Description: non-protein coding LINC00092:7
Source: RNAcentral
UUUCCCACGACCUCGGCGCGACGCGCGCGGGAUCCAGUGGAGACUGCUUUCCCAUAGGCCGCCAUCCAGGGCGGGGAAGGGAGCGGACCCUCCCGGCUCCAGGUGCCUGGGCCCCCGGCGGCCUGCGGAGGCCUCGCCCCACGCCACCCGCCCACUGGCCUCGUCUUCGCGCGGGGAGAAAAGCAGCCUGAUUCGGAGGAACGGGUUGCUUGGGGCGGCUCCCAGCUCGAGUUGUGGGCCCCGCCGCGGGUGCCCUUCGGAAACGCGCUGACACCAGGCGAAGCCGCCUCUGCCCGGACGCAGCCCGACACUUGGCCCGCGGGGUUCCCCGGGACGCCUGAGAGUAAUGGGCGCGAGGGGGAAAGCCGAACGGCCUCCCUGUGCCCGGCGCAGGCGGUGCCCCCUAGCUGGGUUCGCCGCGGCGGCGCUGCGAGCCCCCGACACUGAGGACUUUUGGUCCAACAGUCCGACGGGGCCCGGUGCGCCGUUCCCUCCGCCCUCUCCCCGCUCCCCGGCCCGCGCGUCUUGGAGGGUGGGUGAAUUGUCGGAAGCACUCUACGCCUGGCCAACCCAAACCAGGAACCUCCGCACCAAACAGCCCACGUUGCUGCUGCUCUGGGGUUUUAACGGCCAAGGGAGACUGGAGAAGGGGUGUUCUGCCUUCCCAUUCUCUUAGGCCCGUCCACUCCCCAUCCCCACAGUUUGGAAGUGGCCUUUUCUGAGGACUCCAGCGCAAAGCAUGUUUCUCCUUUUGAGCUGCGGAAGCCUUGCUUGUUCCCGCCAUUGGGAGGGCAUUCCAUCAUCUGCAGCUGCCUUCCUCGGUGGGCCUUGUCCCUUAGCGUCCACCUAGGGGACAUUCUAAGCUUCUUGAGACCUGCUUGUCCACCCCAACAUGUCUCAGCAUAUGGCUGUGCCCUAAGGGGUCUUUGAGGGCAUUUUAGGAGGUGAGCGGCGCCCCUACCUGGGCUCCGCGGGGCCGAUUCGGUUUGCCCUUUGCUGGCAUGUCAGUGAAUUAACUGCUGUCCUUGGGAUGACCUGCCCUAUGAUUUGGCCUCUGGAGCAUCCCGGGUGUGUAUUUCAGAACUCCUCCCAUCUUAUCCACCUGCUGAAGGCCUGGCCCCCUGAUAUGGUUUGGCUCUGUUUCCCCACCCAAAUCUCACCUUGAAUUUUAAUAAUCCCCACGUGUCAUGGGCGGGACCAGGUGGAGGUAAUUGAAUCAUGGAGGUGGUUUCCUGAACGCUGCUCUCGUGACAGUGAGUUCACAAGAUUUUUUUUUUUAACGGAGUAUCACUCUGUCACUCAGGCUGGAGUGCAGUGGCGCGAUCUUGGUUCACUGCAACCUCUGCCUCCCGGGUUCAAGAGAUUCUCCUGCCUCAGCCUCCCGAGUAGCUGGGAUUACAGGUGCGCGCCAUCACGCCCGGCUAAUGUGUAUUUUUAGUAGAGAAAGGGUUUCACCAUGUUGGUUAGGCUGGUCUGGAACUCCUGACCUUGUGAUCUGCCUGCCUCGGCCUCCCAAAGUGCUGGGAUUACACGCGUGAGCCACUGUGCCCAGCCGAUCUGAUGCUUUUAUAAAGGGCUUUCCCCGUCCCCCUUCCUCUCUCUCACCACCCUGUGAGAAAGGUGCCUUUCUUCCCCCUUCACGUGAACUGCCUCCAUGAUUGUAAGCUUCCUGAGGCCUCCCCAGCUAUAAGGAACUGUGAGCCAAUUAAACUGCUUUAUAAAUUAA